Molecule: RNA transcript, 3334 nt
Organism: Beta vulgaris subsp. vulgaris (sugar beet)
Lineage: Eukaryota; Viridiplantae; Streptophyta; Magnoliopsida; Caryophyllales; Amaranthaceae
Gene name: protein MOS2
Exons: 6
Source: RefSeq, a predicted model, not a curated record
AUUCUAGUUAAUGACAUUACCUCAAUAACAUGAAACCUACCUACUUACCUAUACAUCAAGUAACGUUGACUUGACGGUAAAAAUUUGGAUUCAUGACUUCAAGAUUAUGAGAUCAAAUCUCAUUAGGGGUUCUUUGGGAUAAGGUUUACCUUACUAUUCUUCGUCUCUUCAAAGAGUCUAAUUUGCAAAUCUGGCUGAUUAUAUAUGUACGAGGUGACAGUUCAUUACGGUCUUUCAUCGUACCAACUUUUAGAAAUAUAAAAAUGAAAACAUACGUAUAUAACACUUUCAAUUGCUUCGAGUUUUUCACAACAGUUUACUAGACUCCAUUAUAGUCUCUGCAAUACCGUUUGCAAUAACAUGAACAUGAAGUUCUCAAUCCCCAAACAAUCUUCUUCUUCAAAACCUAAACUCUCACAAAAUUCCACCGAUUCUUCGCAAAAACUCCAAAUCAAUCACGAAUUUCUCACCGAAUUCGACCCUUCCAAAACCCCAAUCGAAAAUUCCGCCCCAAAAAAGCUCAUAAUCCCUCCAAAGGAAAACGAAUGGCGUCCCACCAAGAAGAUGAAGAAUCUCGAACUUCCCCCAAUUCAUUCCGGCGGAAAACCCCUAGAAUUUGAGAUCGAAUCGGAAGUUACGGGCCCCGCAUCAUCUGGGUCGGGUAUUUCGUACGGGCUUAAUGUCCGGCAACCCGGUAUCAAUGGUAAGGAGUUUGAUCCCAAUAUCCCUAAUUCAAUUGAUACGAUUAUGCUGAAGAAAUUGAGAACUGAUUUAGAUAGGUUGCCUGAAGAUGAGGGUUUUGAUCAAUUUCAAGAGGUUCCUGUUGAGGGUUUUGGGGCUGCAUUGUUGGCUGGGUAUGGGUGGAAAGAAGGAAUGGGGAUUGGGAAGAAUGCUAAGGAGGAUGUCAAGGUGGUUGAGUAUAAGCGAAAGGCGGCGAAAGAGGGGUUAGGGUUUGAUUCUGAGGUUGGGAUUCCAUCGAAAAAAGAUAAUGGGAGUAAUAGGAGUGGAGAGAAAGAGGGGAAUGGUGGAAAUUUGAGGUUUGGGGUUGGGAAGGAGGUUAGGAUUAUUGGUGGGAGAGAGAUGGGGUUGAAGGGUAGAGUUAUAGAGGUGUCACCGGGAGGUGAAUUGCUCGUAUUGAAGCUUUCGCGGAGUGAAAAGGAAGUGAAGGUUCGUGCAAGUGAGGUCGCGGAGUUAGGUUCUUUGGAGGAAGAUAAGUGUUUGAAGAAGUUGAAGGAGUUAGAGAUUCAAGGUUCUAAGGAAGAUAUGAGGGGAAGGGUUAAGAAGGGUAAGGAUUUGUCGAGUGAAAGGAAGGAGAGUAAGAAAGAUAAAGAUGAGGGUAGAAGAGUUAGGGAAGAAAGGGUGCAGGUGAAUGAGAACAGGAGUAGUAGUAGUGUUCCUUGGCUUAUGAGUCAUAUUAGGGUAAGAAUUAUUAGCAAGUCUUUUAAAGGAGGAAGGUUUUACUUGAAGAAGGGUGAAGUAAUUGAUGUUGUUGGACCUACGACCUGUGAUAUAUCGAUGGACGAUGGUAAGGAGAUUGUUCAGGGAGUAGAACAGGAUAUGUUGGAAACGGCACUUCCUAGGCGAGGUGGCCAUGUUCUCGUUCUCUUUGGAAAGCAUAAGGGGGCAUAUGGCAGUCUUGUGGAGAAGGAUACAGAGAGGGAAGCUGGUGUAGUUCAAGAUGCUGAUACAAGGGAGCUGCUCCGUGUGCGGCUGGAACAAAUUGCUGAAUUUCUUGGGGACCCAAGCUAUAUUGGAUAUUGAUUACGAACGCUGUAUUGAACCAGUAUGCCAAGGAAGUAUAAUUAGUUUCCAAAUUGCUCCUCUGUUCGAGAGUUGGUGGUGACAGCACUGCAGUUUGAGAUGAGAGAGUCUCCGCAAGUAGUCCACUGGCUAGUGGCUACUGCUGGAAUAUUGCAGGGAUCUCUUCCAUCAGAUGAUACUUUUGAAUGUUCUGAUUCUGGUGCAUCAGAUGAUGCUGUUAGCAGUGGAAAAACAAACCAUGCAAUGAUAGUUGAUACUUGAUAGUAGUCUUUAUUUUGAGUGUAUAUUUUCCAUGUGUACACUAGCAGAGGGUUCAGCACCUUGCUUUGCAAGACUUAGGCGGGGAGUUCUCUCUUUUAUUGGAACUAAACAGGUUGCUGCAAUACCCAUAAGGCUCUUCACAAGUAGUGCUAUUGCUCGGCCAGGCAAACCUAUCUCUUCUGCUGGUGUGAGACUUUCUGGACUAGCUUGUCAUCAUCAUAGUUUGAUAUGAGUUCAGGUCAUCUCCGAUUGACGUUUAGAACUCCCCUGUACCUGCCUUUUCUAGAGCAGUUUGCUUGAUGAGAAAGAGAAGAGUUUCGAACACAACUGGUUAGCUCUUUAGAUAUUGGCCAUGAGCAGUCUUCUUCAUGACCAACCAUAUAUCAUUGGAGUCGUGGGCAUUUAUCAAAACCUCUUCUCACGACAUCAGAUGGUAGUGAAUGAUUAAAUAGCCAAAAGGGAAGCAAAGCUUCAAAGGCUGCUUGUGAUGUACUUGGAGGCCAAUUUUGGUUUGUUGAUGGAUCUGUCAGAAUCUCUGACAUCAAAGCACCUGAAAAGUGAUCUGGGCCUUGGCUUGUUUAUACUACCAAGCUGCAUAUUCACAGAGUCGAAAGAGUGAAUCGGUUUUCACCCAGGGUUAGAUGUGGCUAAGGUGCACGAGUACUUUGCCAGUCACACUUGAAAUUAUAUACAUGAAAACUCUUAUCCUCACUGCAUCUCAGGCUAGUGACAUACAGUUCCUAGAUGCUAGAAAUCGCAGCAAUGCAUACCUCACAAUCGAUGCCCAUAGGGGCUGAUUCACAGCCCUGGCAGUUCUUUGGCAUGCUCCAAGAGUCUAAUCAUAGCCAGUGGUUCUGUAAAGCAGCUUAUUUAAGUACCUUAUCAAGUGCUGCUCGGCGCUUGCUGCGGGUGCUGCCAAUUCUUUUGUUACCUUUUGUGCUGAUGACUAUAUGUUGAAGCCAAAGACUAUGGUUUUGCUUAAGAUUCAACAUGUUGCAAAGUGAUUGAGGUUCAUGUAGAAGUUGCAAUGAUGUGGGUUUCUCAGGAGAUUCUUUGAGAAUGAAUUGCAAAAGUUGUCAUUUGAUUUUAUACUAAGAUAUUUGUCUAAUAAGUUGGAAAAAAGUGCCUUGUAUAAUAAGGAGGGAGGAAUGCUUAUCCUUCCACAAUUUGCAGAGGGAGGUGUCAGGUGUAUUAUAUUGUAUGAUCAACAAAAUAUGGUAUAAAACACGGGAUGAUCAAUAUGAAAAAACGAUCAGAAUUGUCAAUACUUUCCCCGUUUCGAAUUAAAUGCAACAAUUCCACUUUUUUGCUA